This 501-nucleotide ribosomal RNA is filed under the name uncultured Pseudomonadota bacterium. RNAcentral's name for it is "bacterial SSU rRNA". It matches the Rfam family "Bacterial small subunit ribosomal RNA", at positions 355 to 851 of the family's 1533-position model. The record is from RNAcentral. Lineage: Bacteria; Pseudomonadati; Pseudomonadota.
UGGGGAAUUUUGGACAAUGGGCGCAAGCCUGAUCCAGCCAUGCCGCGUGCGGGAAGAAGGCCUUCGGGUUGUAAACCGCUUUUGUCAGGGAAGAAAAGGUUCUGGCUAAUACCUGGGACUCAUGACGGUACCUGAAGAAUAAGCACCGGCUAACUACGUGCCAGCAGCCGCGGUAAUACGUAGGGUGCAAGCGUUAAUCGGAAUUACUGGGCGUAAAGCGUGCGCAGGCGGUUAUGCAAGACAGAGGUGAAAUCCCGGGCUCAACCUGGGAACUGCCUUGUGACUGCAUGGCUAGAGUACGGUAGAGGGGGAUGGAAUUCCGCGUGUAGCAGUGAAAUGCGUAGAUAUGCGGAGGAACACCGAUGGCGAAGGCAAUCCCCUGGACCUGUACUGACGCUCAUGCACGAAAGCGUGGGGAGCGAAACAGGAUUAGAUACCCUGGUAGUCCACGCCCUAAACGAUGUCAACUGGUGUUGGGAGGUUUCGUUCUCAGUAACGUAG